Molecule: transfer RNA, 76 nt
Filed under: Hadarchaeum sp. (SeqCode)
Lineage: Archaea; Methanobacteriati; Hadarchaeota (SeqCode); Hadarchaeia (SeqCode); Hadarchaeales (SeqCode); Hadarchaeaceae (SeqCode)
Description: Candidatus Hadarchaeum sp. tRNA-Val
Rfam family: tRNA
About the family: Transfer RNA (tRNA) molecules are approximately 80 nucleotides in length. Their secondary structure includes four short double-helical elements and three loops (D, anti-codon, and T loops).
Source: RNAcentral
GGGCCCGUGGUCUAGUGGUUAUGACGUCGCCUUGACAUGGCGAAGUUCGAGGGUUCGACUCCCUCCGGGCCCACCA